CCCUUAGAUGCCCUGGGCCGCACGCGUGCUACACUGACGCCUACAGCGAGUACUUCCCAGCCCCGAGAGGUGGCUGGUAAUCAGCAAUAGGCGUCGUGAUGGGGAUAGAUCUUUGGAAUUAUGGAUCUUGAACGAGGAAUGCCUAGUAAGCGCAGGUCAUUAGCCUGCGCUGAUUAAGUCCCUGCCCUUUGUACACACCGCCCGUCGCUCCUACCGAUUUCGAGUGGUCCGGUGAAUCUUUCGGACUGCGCGCGGCCUCGUGCCGUGUCGCGGAAAGUCAGGUAAACCUUAUCACUUAGAGGAAGGAGAAGUCGUAACA
RNAcentral lists this ribosomal RNA (319 nucleotides) under uncultured eukaryote. Its description in RNAcentral is "partial 18S ribosomal RNA". It matches the Rfam family "Eukaryotic small subunit ribosomal RNA", at positions 1470 to 1796 of the family's 1831-position model. The record is from RNAcentral.